Molecule: ribosomal RNA, 253 nt
Filed under: uncultured bacterium
Lineage: Bacteria
Description: partial 16S ribosomal RNA
Rfam family: Bacterial small subunit ribosomal RNA
Source: RNAcentral
UACGUAGGCAGCAAGCGUUGUUCGGAAUUACUGGGCGUAAAGAGUGUGUAGGCGGUGUUCUAAGUUUGGUGUGAAAUCUCCCGGCUCAACUGGGAGGGUGCGCCGAAUACUGAAUGACUAGAGUGCGGGAGAGGAUAGUGGAAUUCCUGGUGUAGCGGUGAAAUGCGUAGAUAUCAGGAGGAACACCGGUGGUGUAGACGGCUAUCUGGACCGUAACUGACGCUGAGGCACGAAGGCGUGGGUAGCAAACAGG